Phytophthora nicotianae (black shank of tobacco agent) is the source of this 59-nucleotide transfer RNA. It matches the Rfam family "tRNA", at positions 7 to 64 of the family's 71-position model. Rfam says of the family: Transfer RNA (tRNA) molecules are approximately 80 nucleotides in length. The record is from Rfam. NCBI's taxonomy places the organism in Eukaryota, Oomycota, Peronosporomycetes, Peronosporales, Peronosporaceae.
AUAGCUCAGUGGUCGAGCGCUCGCUUGAAAAGCGUGAGGUCCGUGGUUCGAUACCACCU